GACGAACGCUGGCGGCGUGCCUAAUACAUGCAAGUCGAACGAGAGCGACCGGUGCUUGCACUGGUCAAUCUAGUGGCGAACGGGUGAGUAACACGUGGGUAACCUGCCCAUCAGAGGGGGAUAACAUUCGGAAACGGAUGCUAAAACCGCAUAGGUCCUUUAACCGCAUGGUUGAAGGAGGAAAAGAGGCGCAAGCUUCUGCUGAUGGAUGGACCCGCGGUGCAUUAGCUAGUUGGUGAGGUAACGGCUCACCAAGGCCGUGAUGCAUAGCCGACCUGAGAGGGUGAUCGGCCACACUGGAACUGAGACACAGUCCAGACUCCUACGGGAGGCAGCAGUAGGGAAUCUUCCGCAAUGGGCGAAAGCCUGACGGAGCAACGCCGCGUGAGUGAUGAAGGUCUUCGGAUCGUAAAACUCUGUUAUUAGGGAAGAACAUAUGUGUAAGUAACUGUGCACAUCUUGACGGUACCUAAUCAGAAAGCCACGGCUAACUACGUGCCAGCAGCCGCGGUAAUACGUAGGUGGCAAGCGUUAUCCGGAAUUAUUGGGCGUAAAGCGCGCGUAGGCGGUUUUUUAAGUCUGAUGUGAAAGCCCACGGCUCAACCGUGGAGGGUCAUUGGAAACUGGAAAACUUGAGUGCAGAAGAGGAAAGUGGAAUUCCAUGUGUAGCGGUGAAAUGCGCAGAGAUAUGGAGGAACACCAGUGGCGAAGGCGACUUUCUGGUCUGUAACUGACGCUGAUGUGCGAAAGCGUGGGGAUCAAACAGGAUUAGAUACCCUGGUAGUCCACGCCGUAAACGAUGAGUGCUAAGUGUUAGGGGGUUUCCGCCCCUUAGUGCUGCAGCUAACGCAUUAAGCACUCCGCCUGGGGAGUACGACCGCAAGGUUGAAACUCAAAGGAAUUGACGGGGACCCGCACAAGCGGUGGAGCAUGUGGUUUAAUUCGAAACAACGCGAAGAACCUUACCAAAUCUUGACAUCCUUUGACAGCUCUAGAGAUAGAGCCUUCCCCUUCGGGGGACAAAGUGACAGGUGGUGCAUGGUUGUCGUCAGCUCGUGUCGUGAGAUGUUGGGUUAAGUCCCGCAACGAGCGCAACCCUUAAGCUUAGUUGCCAUCAUUAAGUUGGGCACUCUAAGUUGACUGCCGGUGACAAACCGGAGGAAGGUGGGGAUGACGUCAAAUCAUCAUGCCCCUUAUGAUUUGGGCUACACACGUGCUACAAUGGACAAUACAAAGGGCAGCGAAACCGCGAGGUCAAGCAAAUCCCAUAAAGUUGUUCUCAGUUCGGAUUGUAGUCUGCAACUCGACUACAUGAAGCUGGAAUCGCUAGUAAUCGUAGAUCAGCAUGCUAUGGUGAAUACGUUCCCGGGUCU
RNAcentral lists this ribosomal RNA (1373 nucleotides) under uncultured bacterium. RNAcentral's name for it is "16S ribosomal RNA". It matches the Rfam family "Bacterial small subunit ribosomal RNA", at positions 28 to 1381 of the family's 1533-position model. The record is from RNAcentral.